CGCCGCCGGGAUUGUGCCAGCAGCCGCGGUAAUACGUAGGGUGCGAGCGUUGUCCGGAAUUACUGGGCGUAAAGAGCUCGUAGGUGGUUUGUCGCGUUGUUCGUGAAWUCUCACGGCUUAACUGUGAGCGUGCGGGCGAUACGGGCAGACUAGAGWACUGCAGGGGAGACUGGAAUUCCUGGUGUAGCGGUGGAAUGCGCAGAUAUCAGGAGGAACACCGGUGGCGAAGGCGGGUCUCUGGGCAGUWACUGACGCUGAGGAGCGAAAGCGUUGGGGAGCGAACAGGAUUAGAUACCCUGGUAGUCCACGCCGUAAACGGUGGGUACUAGGUGUGGGUUUCCUUCCUUGGGAUCCGUGCCGUAGCUAACGCAUUAAGUACCCCGCCUGGGGAGUACGGCCGCAAGGCUAAAACUCAAAGGAAUUGACGG
Molecule: ribosomal RNA, 428 nt
Filed under: uncultured organism
Description: SSU rRNA
Rfam family: Bacterial small subunit ribosomal RNA
Source: RNAcentral